AGUAGAAUUGCUGGGUCCGAUGGUAACUGGGUUUAACUUUUUGAAGAACUUCCACACUGCUUUCCAAAGUGGCUACACCAUUUAACAUUUCUGUCAGCAGU
RNAcentral lists this microRNA precursor (101 nucleotides) under Marmota monax (woodchuck). The record is from RNAcentral. Lineage: Eukaryota; Metazoa; Chordata; Mammalia; Rodentia; Sciuridae.